RNAcentral lists this long non-coding RNA (486 nucleotides) under Homo sapiens (human). Its description in RNAcentral is "long non-coding RNA NONHSAT183691". Lineage: Eukaryota; Metazoa; Chordata; Mammalia; Primates; Hominidae. The record is from RNAcentral.
GGGCACUUUCUUCAACUAGGAGACCUUUGCCAGAGCAUGUGAAGACCUUCUUGGCAAACACCAGCCAUGCUCACUUCUCACCAUCCCCCAGUGCCACCUACUCUCUGCUCAACACUCUCCAUGCCCCUCCCAGAGCCAUUGAUCCCGUUCCACCAGAAGAUCACAUCUUAGAAAUGCCCCAGACAUCGUUGGACAUUUCUUCAUGCUUCAUGAGCUUCAAAAUCUUUUAAAAAUUUAAUGCGCUUAUGAAUCUCUAACAAGCUCCUAAAUAACUUGUAUGCUAUUGUUAAAAAACUCCAAAUAUUAAUAAGUAUUAGUAAAAUGUUGCUGUUAAUAGUAAAUCAGCUAAGCGUCAAAAUGCUACCUGGAAAAGCAAGCAGAAUAGACAUUCCAAUGUUAAAGGGCAUCAAGAGCAAGACUCUUAAAGAGCCUAUGAAAUCAUUUAAGUGUGAGAUAAAAAGGUUGGGAAUUUCAUACAUAUUUAGC